Long non-coding RNA from Eriocheir sinensis (Chinese mitten crab), 709 nucleotides. RefSeq lists it as uncharacterized. The transcript has 3 exons. The record is from RefSeq and is a predicted model, not a curated record. Lineage: Eukaryota; Metazoa; Arthropoda; Malacostraca; Decapoda; Varunidae.
GAAGAGGAAGGCGCCGAUCAGCUGUUCCGGCCGCGUGACAGGCACUCAGGCAGCAGGGCGGGGAGCUACAUUUACUCCUCCACCGAGUGUUUUCAAGUACUCUUCCACCACUCCUCUACACCAGCUCACCUGUAUACCACAUAACUAUACCACCUGGAAGCCUCUAAUUAUGCCUGAGGUAACCCCGGAGACCAUUAAAUAAACGUAAAAAGGGUCAAAAUAUGAAGCCACUGCGGGUCAACAACAUACCAAAAACCGGGGACAUGCUUCUCAUUUUUCCUUACUUCUUCACCUAAUUACCUUUGCAAGCUUAAUCACCAGGUGGGAAAAUAUGCAUUACUAAAUUAUCCAGUUACUGUUACUCCACUAAUGCCUCUUCCACUCCCUCACAUAUCCCAUUACAUUGUGCUUACUACCCUCAUUUGCAUCCCCUUUUUUUCCAUUAUUAUUUGCUCCAUCUCCUACUGUAUACUUUUUUCUCAUACCUUUGAUUUUUUUUUCUUCUAAACUUUCCUCUUUUCCCACAAAACUGACUAGUAUGUCACUGUUUUGUUUGCUUUAUGAGCUUUAUUAGACACCCUUGAUUUUAUACAUGUUAUACUAGUCAGUCUUUCUCAACAGUUUAUUUGGUGUCAAUGCCCAUAGCAUUUGCAGUGCCAUAAACCUAUACCCCAAUCAGUCAGUUAACCUUUUAACCCAUUUUUUAUCA